RNAcentral lists this ribosomal RNA (254 nucleotides) under uncultured bacterium. Its description in RNAcentral is "partial 16S ribosomal RNA". It matches the Rfam family "Bacterial small subunit ribosomal RNA", at positions 524 to 776 of the family's 1533-position model. The record is from RNAcentral.
UACGGGGGGGGGCAAGCGUUGUUCGGAAUUACUGGGCGUAAAGCGCGCGUAGGCGGACCUGCAAGUCGGGGGUGAAAGCCCGAGGCUCAACCUCGGAACUGCCUUCGAUACUGCGGGUCUCGAGUCCGGGAGAGGUGAGUGGAAUUCCUAGUGUAGAGGUGAAAUUCGUAGAUAUUAGGAAGAACACCAGUGGCGAAGGCGGCUCACUGGCCCGGUACUGACGCUGAGGCGCGAAAGCGUGGGGAGCAAACAGG